This 428-nucleotide ribosomal RNA is filed under the name uncultured bacterium. RNAcentral's name for it is "bacterial SSU rRNA". It matches the Rfam family "Bacterial small subunit ribosomal RNA", at positions 355 to 775 of the family's 1533-position model. The record is from RNAcentral.
UAGGGAAUCUUCGGCAAUGGACGAAAGUCUGACCGAGCAACGCCGCGUGAGUGAAGAAGGUUUUCGGAUCGUAAAACUCUGUUGGUAGAGAAGAACGUUGGUGAGAGUGGAAAGCUCAUCAAGUGACGGUAACUACCCAGAAAGGGACGGCUAACUACGUGCCAGCAGCCGCGGUAAUACGUAGGUCCCGAGCGUUGUCCGGAUUUAUUGGGCGUAAAGCGAGCGCAGGUGGUUUAUUAAGUCUGGUGUAAAAGGCAGUGGCUCAACCAUUGUAUGCAUUGGAAACUGGUAGACUUGAGUGCAGGAGAGGAGAGUGGAAUUCCAUGUGUAGCGGUGAAAUGCGUAGAUAUAUGGAGGAACACCGGUGGCGAAAGCGGCUCUCUGGCCUGUAACUGACACUGAGGCUCGAAAGCGUGGGGAGCAAACAG